This is a microRNA precursor of Erinaceus europaeus (western European hedgehog), 85 nucleotides long. Ensembl annotates it as microRNA 200a. Its record names the gene MIR200A. Lineage: Eukaryota; Metazoa; Chordata; Mammalia; Eulipotyphla; Erinaceidae. The record is from Ensembl.
GGGCCUCUGUGGGCAUCUUACCGGACAGUGCUGGAUUUUCGCUCACUCUAACACUGUCUGGUAACGAUGUUCAAAGGUGGCCCAC